UGGACCUCAGCUCAGGAGUGACUACCCGCUGAAUUAAGCAUAUCAUA
This 47-nucleotide ribosomal RNA is filed under the name Ephydatia fluviatilis. Its description in RNAcentral is "partial 28S ribosomal RNA". Lineage: Eukaryota; Metazoa; Porifera; Demospongiae; Spongillida; Spongillidae. The record is from RNAcentral.